GUCUCUAUUGUUGGUUUAUUCUUUGUUUUGAUCUAUUUGGUUAAGAUUAGGAAUUGCUAAUUGGGAAUUGAAAAUUAUAUAGUCGAUUGGGAAUUGUUUAGUCGAUUGGAAAUUGUUUGUUUAUUCUUUGUUUUGAUCCGGCAGAUAUGAAGGCUAGGAGGAUUUAAGGAUCCGAGCUCGGAAGCAGCUAUGAAACACGGCAAAGCUUAUGCGGAUGAAGGCGAAGGAGGGAUGGUGGAGAAGCUAAGUGGAGCUGUUACUUCUUGGCUCGCUGGUACGACCGAGGAAGUGAUGCAAAAGGCUACACAGUCUGGUCAUGUCUCUUCACAGUCACUUGGCUCCAUCGUUGAGCUAAAGAAUCCGAUCUGAGGAAGAAGUUGACUAAAUAGAUCGAAGAUGUUU
This is a non-coding RNA of Camelina sativa (false flax), 402 nucleotides long. The record is from RefSeq and is a predicted model, not a curated record. NCBI's taxonomy places the organism in Eukaryota, Viridiplantae, Streptophyta, Magnoliopsida, Brassicales, Brassicaceae.